Long non-coding RNA from Patella vulgata (common limpet), 2430 nucleotides. RefSeq lists it as uncharacterized. NCBI's taxonomy places the organism in Eukaryota, Metazoa, Mollusca, Gastropoda, Patellidae. The record is from RefSeq and is a predicted model, not a curated record. The transcript has 4 exons.
UUUACUACAACAUUGAAUAUAAUCAUUUCAAUUAAUCGCUUAGACAGUAGGACGUUAAACCCCAUUUCUUUUCACUUCGCUUAGAAUAUAUACAAUGGUUACAAUGUUCAACAUUACGUCCUCUAUGCGUUGUACUCAGCGCGUAUAGUGUACAAGAGCCAUGUGAUUGGUGGAUAAAAAUAGAAAUAAAAUACGCCGGUAUAUCAAUAUGCUGUCACAACCACGUGCAAUACUAUAACUCCAACGUCAAAUCGAACACAGCUACAAUCACCAUGCUUUACUCCGAUACAUUACAGUUAUCUAAACGUUUACCAAACGUUGAUGAUGUUUUAGAUUGUUCUAAUUUCAUCGUUUCAGAUAGUAAACAGACUGAGUAUUAUAACUUUGACCAAUUCGAGAUGAUAGCUGACGAGAAAUCUAUCCUACCCGAUUUUGACUUGCUGAAUGAUUUGAUGGAAACGAGGGAAGCAAGUUGUUCCAACACUAAUAUUCCCGCAACCAUCAAUGAAGAAAUGGAAGCACAAAAUGUUGCCGAUGUGCCAGAGUCAUCUGAUACAGGAAGCGACCAGUUAGCGUAUGACGAGAAGACGGUAGCAGCUGUAUUGGCUAGUUUAGAAACCAACAGCGUAACACCGAUAAUAAAAGAGGGUUUACGAUCAUGUAUCCAAACAAAACGACUCCAGGAAGGAAAAGAGGAGUUGGAAAUUAAAUUCACUCCAUAUACAAAACGAGAGCCCGAAACGGACGAAGAAGUUGCUCGAGCUGCGAAACGUAAAGAACAAAACAAAAUGGCAGCACGACGUUUCAGACAACGUCAAAAAGAUGUGGGCGAUAAAUACAUAAAGAAAAUUCACCGUCUUGAAACUUCUAACACCACCCUCCAAGCAGAGAUUGCCAAUCUUCGACGGGCGAAAGCAGAAUUACAGCAACUCCUCACAAGCCAUUUAUCAGUAUGUCCCAACAAUCCAGUCGUUGCCUGGCCGUGAAAUGGACUUUUCACAUAAUGACGGAUAACACAAAUAACUACAAAAUGAGGAACUUAAUUGUUCGCGAUUUCUGCUAGUCAAAAACAUGUCGAAUAACUUUUGUCGUCGUUCAUAAGACAUCAUGGCUAAAUAAAAACUGACAUUCAGGAACAAACUUUGGUUUGCGAUGACAGAAGUUUCGACAUACGCAUCUUUUCCACAUGGUGCUAGAGAAGAAGGAGGUGGGCAUCUAUUCUAAUAGCUAUAGAAUAGAAGGAAGAACGUCCUGGUUUCAGCUACAAAACAAAAUCUCAAAGAUAAACACAAUCUGAUCUUUAUACAAUAGAUUUAGCCAUGUUUUCUCUUAUAUAGAAUAAAACUAAUGCAAUGAAGUUAGCUCUCGAAACGGGAAUAUAGUUUGGUAAUAGUAACCUAUUCUGAUCAUCUGAAAAUGUUAUUUUAUUUUUAGAUGUGGAAUAAGUUCAUUAUAAAUAACUGUGAUAAAAUUGCAUCAAAAAGUUUUAUUUUAUGUAAAUGAAAAAAAGAGACUUUCUCAUUUAUCAUGACACCAUGACUGACCUUCAAUAUUUUGUGUACAUGUAAAUGAAAAAAGAGACUUUCUAAUUAAACAUUUUAAAACAUAUACUUUUCUUAUCAAAUAUUGAAUCAAAGUUAAGAAACUUUCUCAAUAAACAUGACUGUAUCAUUACUAAUCAUAAAUAUAUUAAAAUAUAUUCGUAUAUGCUCAAUUUUGUGAUGUAAUUGUAUAUGUACCUGUAGAAAUUGUGACGUGGGUAAAUGAUAUACAGGUAAUCCAUAUAUACGAAGUACGUGUAUCUUCUAAGGUAUUCAAUAUUACCUCAUAUAGAUGUAGACCCUAUAUUGUCUUCUAUAGUAAAGGUAUACAUUUAUAAUAUUACUUGUAUGUAUUUUAAGUGUUUAUUUAUAUUAUGUACAUAACUUUUUGUUUAAAAUGCACAAUAACAUUAUACGUGUACAUUAUGAAUUCCAAUAUUCAAAAAUGCACAAUAAACAGGAUGUAUUCAAACAAUGGUGUAUAUCCUCAGGUAUUAUUAAAUCUGUACAUGUAUUUAAAUGACAUAAUAUAUUUUAUUUUAUGGGCUGCACAGCCGUUGCAUUUAUAAUUCAUUUUCUAGAAUAGAACAUUAUUUAGUUUUAAAAUGGACAUUUAUGCUUAAAUCAUUCAGGGAAAAUCAAGCCCAUGUCAUAUAGAAAAGUUUGAACGUUUUAGAUAGACCUGUGAAGUAAAGUUCAUAAUAGUCAAACUUGUAUAUACUUUUAACUGCCAAACAUGGUAUAUAUGUUAUGUUCUAUGACGAAUAAUUGUUUACCAUCGAUAAUAUUAUGCUGUCUUUGCCCAUAUUUAGUAAUGCGUCUAUUUAUAAUUAUUGACCAAUGGCUGUGUCAUGUUCCAUAUAUACAGAUUAUGUUGUUAGUCUUUAUA